RNAcentral lists this ribosomal RNA (253 nucleotides) under uncultured bacterium. RNAcentral describes it as "partial 16S ribosomal RNA". It matches the Rfam family "Bacterial small subunit ribosomal RNA", at positions 524 to 776 of the family's 1533-position model. The record is from RNAcentral.
UACGUAGGGGGCAAGCGUUGUCCGGAUUUAUUGGGCGUAAAGAGCGUGUAGGCGGCCAGGUAGGUCCGUUGUGAAAACUAGAGGCUUAACCUCUAGACGUCGAUGGAAACCAUCUGGCUAGAGUCCGGAAGAGGAGAGUGGAAUUCCUGGUGUAGCGGUGAAAUGCGCAGAUAUCAGGAAGAACGCCCGUGGCGAAGGCGGCUCUCUGGGACGGUACUGACGCUGAGACGCGAAAGCGUGGGGAGCGAACAGG